Molecule: ribosomal RNA, 349 nt
Filed under: Pterocarpus amazonum
Lineage: Eukaryota; Viridiplantae; Streptophyta; Magnoliopsida; Fabales; Fabaceae
Description: eukaryotic LSU rRNA
Rfam family: 5.8S ribosomal RNA (bases 1-110)
Source: RNAcentral
AGCGAAAUGCGAUACUUGGUGUGAAUUGCAGAAUCCCGUGAACCAUCGAGUCUUUGAACGCAAGUUGCGCCCGAAGCCAUUAGGCCAAGGGCACGCCUGCCUGGGUGUCACCAAUCGCCGCCCCCACCCCAGCGCCUCCGGGCCACGGUGCGGGGCGAAUGCUGGCCUCCCGUGAGCAUCCGCCUCGCGGCUGGCCGAAAAUCGGGUGCGCGGCGGAGUGCGGCGCCAUGACAGACGGUGGUUGAGCGCGAUCUCGAGGCCAGUCAUGCGCGUCCCCCCGCCGGCUACGGACCCCGUUGCGACCCGCGAGCGAUGCCGAUCGCCCAUGAUGCGACCUCAGGUCAGGCGG